UGGGGAAUAUUGCACAAUGGGGGAAACCCUGAUGCAGCAACGCCGCGUGAACGAAGACGGCCUUCGGGUUGUAAAGUUCUUUGAUUAGGGAAGAAAAUGACAGUACCUAAAGAACAAGCCACGGCUAACUACGUGCCAGCAGCCGCGGUAAUACGUAGGUGGCGAGCGUUGUCCGGAUUUACUGGGCGUAAAGGAUGCGUAGGUGGAAACUUAAGUGAGAUGUGAAAUCCCCGGGCUUAACCUGGGAACUGCAUUUCAAACUGGGUAUCUUGAGUGCAGGAGAGGAAAGCGGAAUUCCUAGUGUAGCGGUGAAAUGCGUAGAUAUUAGGAAGAACACCGGUGGCGAAGGCGGCUUUCUGGACUGUAACUGACACUGAGGCAUGAAAGCGUGGGGAGCAAACAGG
RNAcentral lists this ribosomal RNA (404 nucleotides) under uncultured bacterium. RNAcentral's name for it is "bacterial SSU rRNA". It matches the Rfam family "Bacterial small subunit ribosomal RNA", at positions 355 to 776 of the family's 1533-position model. The record is from RNAcentral.